GACAGAGAGAGAGCUCGCGACCGUGACCGAGACAGAGACAGAGAAAGAGACAGAGAAAGACGCAGAGACAAAGAAGAUCGCGAACGCGAACGCGAACGCGACCGUGACCGAGACAGAGACAGAGACAGAGAACGCACCCGCAGCACCCGCUCACGCACCCGUUCACCUGACCGGACCCGUAGCACCCGCUCGCGCACCCGUUCACCUGACCGCACCCGCUCACGACACGCACGCUCUCCUGAACGCCAUCGUUCUCGCUCACGCUCCCCGGAGUCUCGUUCUCACCGCCGCCAUCGCAACCAGCGCACUCCUUCCCCAUCGCCACCCCGAAAACGUCACCGUCAUGACACCGAGG
Molecule: long non-coding RNA, 355 nt
Filed under: Manihot esculenta (cassava)
Lineage: Eukaryota; Viridiplantae; Streptophyta; Magnoliopsida; Malpighiales; Euphorbiaceae
Description: long non-coding RNA (MESC_LNC008608)
Source: RNAcentral